CUAACAUAUGCAAAUUAGGCAAAUGCAUUAAUUAAGCAUGCAAAUAGCUGAUUUUUAGGAAAAAUGUAAGUUUGCGUGAAUAGUUAAACGGCUUAAACUAAACCAAAUUGUCUGAAAUUUUGUACAGUAAUUAAAAAUGCGACAAAUGUUCCAUCUAUUAACUCAAAAUAUGAUUACAGCUUUUAAAUUUUGUGCGCAAGCCAUUUUUAUUUUGUUGGAAAAGACACACCCCCCUGGUUCACAAUAUUUGAGUUCAAGAAAUUUUUUUCAUUAUUCUACAUUCUAAGUACCCAAAGAAGCUAUAUCUAUAAAAAACCGGAUACAAAUCGGUGUUUUGCGAAAUUGAGAGCAAUUUCAAAUCUGUUCAGUUUUUUUUGAUACACCCUGUAUAU
Molecule: non-coding RNA, 392 nt
Organism: Paramuricea clavata
Lineage: Eukaryota; Metazoa; Cnidaria; Anthozoa; Malacalcyonacea; Plexauridae
Source: the annotation of a GenBank genome assembly